This 202-nucleotide long non-coding RNA is filed under the name Phaseolus vulgaris (common bean). RNAcentral describes it as "long non-coding RNA (PVUL_LNC003505)". Lineage: Eukaryota; Viridiplantae; Streptophyta; Magnoliopsida; Fabales; Fabaceae. The record is from RNAcentral.
AUUUUUAUACUGGUUCACUCAUCAAGAGCUACGUCCAGUUCACCUCACUCCAAGGUGUAAUCCACUAAAAUUUGAUACAAUCAAUUACAAACACACAGCAGUUCUUGAACCCUUCAAGAACCUCAACUAUCAAGGCUGAAAAACACUAUUCCAGCAUACCUUGCACUCCAAGAAACCCUAUCUAGAGUGACUAACGCUCAAA